UCCUACGGGAGGCAGCAGUGAGGAAUAUUGCGCAAUGGGCGAAAGCCUGACGCAGCGACGCCGCGUGGAGGAUGAAGGUCUUAGGAUUGUAAACUUCUGUUAAGCGGGAAGAAAGACGAAGUGUUAAUACCACUUUAUGAUGACGGUACCGCUAAAGAAAGCACCGGCUAACUUCGUGCCAGCACCCGCGGUAAUA
Molecule: ribosomal RNA, 196 nt
Filed under: uncultured bacterium
Lineage: Bacteria
Description: partial 16S ribosomal RNA
Rfam family: Bacterial small subunit ribosomal RNA
Source: RNAcentral